RNAcentral lists this ribosomal RNA (505 nucleotides) under uncultured bacterium. RNAcentral's name for it is "bacterial SSU rRNA". It matches the Rfam family "Bacterial small subunit ribosomal RNA", at positions 28 to 529 of the family's 1533-position model. The record is from RNAcentral.
GAUGAACGCUAGCGGCAGGCCUAACACAUGCAAGUCGAGGGGUAUAGUUCUUCGGAACUAGAGACCGGCGCACGGGUGCGUAACGCGUAUGCAAUCUACCUUUUACAGGGGAAUAGCCCAGAGAAAUUUGGAUUAAUGCCCCAUAGUGUUAUAGAAUCGCAUGGUUUUUAUAACUAAAGUUCCAACGGUAAAAGAUGGGCAUGCGUCCCAUUAGUUAGUUGGUAAGGUAACGGCUUACCAAGACAAUGAUGGGUAGGGGUCCUGAGAGGGAGAUCCCCCACACUGGUACUGAGACACGGACCAGACUCCUACGGGGAGGCAGCAGUGAGGAAUAUUGGACAAUGGGCGCAAGCCUGAUCCAGCCAUGCCGCGUGCAGGAAGACGGUCCUAUGGAUUGUAAACUGCUUUUUGUACAGGAAGAAACACUCCCUCGUGAGGGAGCUUGACGGUACUGUAAGAAUAAGGAUCGGCUAACUCCGUGCCAGCAGCCGCGUAAUGUAUCGUA